This 269-nucleotide long non-coding RNA is filed under the name Struthio camelus australis. Its description in RNAcentral is "lncRNA (ENSSCUG00000006776.1)". Lineage: Eukaryota; Metazoa; Chordata; Aves; Struthioniformes; Struthionidae. The record is from RNAcentral.
GUCAUCCUCAGGCUAUGGACACACCAAAUAAGAGCAUAAGAAGCUAAUCUGCAAGAUCCAGAUGAAGAAGGAGGCUCCUGGCCUUAGGGGUUUGUGUCUUCAAUCCCCACAAAUGGUGCCCGAACAGGGACUUGAAGAGUAAACAGGGACCUGAAGAGAGAAUCAGGACUUGAAGAGAGAAAUCCGGUGGGGAGCCCAGCUGAACUCGAAAGAGGCUGCAGCAAGUUUUUCAAUUGCCUUCACAGAAGGUAAGCAGCUGGGAACAUGGG